RNAcentral lists this ribosomal RNA (395 nucleotides) under uncultured bacterium. RNAcentral describes it as "bacterial SSU rRNA". It matches the Rfam family "Bacterial small subunit ribosomal RNA", at positions 29 to 414 of the family's 1533-position model. The record is from RNAcentral.
AUUGAACGCUGGCGGCAUGCCUUACACAUGCAAGUCGAACGGCAGCACGGGGGCAACCCUGGUGGCGAGUGGCGAACGGGUGAGUAAUACAUCGGAACGUGUCCUGUCGUGGGGGAUAACCAGUCGAAAGACUGGCUAAUACCGCAUGAGAUCGAGAGAUGAAAGCAGGGGGACCCGGGGCGAACCUCGGGCCUUGCGCGAUUGGAGCGGCCGAUGUCGGAUUAGCNGUUGGCGGGGUAAAAGCCCACCAAGGCGACGAUCCGUAGCUGGUCUGAGAGGACGAUCAGCCACACUGGGACUGAGACACGGCCCAGACUCCUACGGGGAGGCAGCAGUUAGGAAUAUUGGACAAUGGGCGCAAGCCUGAUCCAGCCAUGCCGCGUGAGUGAUGAAGG